GCAAACUUGGUCAUUUAGAGGAAGUAAAAGUCGUAACAAGGUUUCCGUAGGUGAACCUGCGGAAGGAUCAUCACUGAUUCGGGGGUGAGAGGUGAUGGCGUGUGCGCUGAACGUGGCGCACACGCUGCGCCGCUUCCCCAACCCAAUCCUGUGUGCACCGUUUCACGGUUUUUAAGCGAGCGCGCAAGGAAGCGCAAGACAAACCAACCACACCACCACCCCCACCCGCAUGAUGCGCGCGUUGCUGCUGCUACGUCGCGUGCGUGUGGUGUGUGGUGGUGGCGGGUUUCUCUCUGCUGCACGCAUGCUCGCUCUGCUUUACAACACACUAUCUUGUGCAAUCUCUGUCUAACGUAUUAUAUGUGUGCGUGCGUUAUAAUACGCGCACGCCACGCUUUAAACACACAUACAACUUUCAACAAUGGAUCUCUUGGCUCUCGCAUCGAUGAAGAACGCAGC
Molecule: unclassified non-coding RNA, 459 nt
Filed under: uncultured fungus
Lineage: Eukaryota; Fungi
Description: partial contains small subunit ribosomal RNA, internal transcribed spacer 1, and 5.8S ribosomal RNA
Rfam family: Eukaryotic small subunit ribosomal RNA (bases 1-73)
Source: RNAcentral